GACGAACGCUGGCGGCGUGCCUAAUACAUGCAAGUCGAGCGAGCUUGCCUAGAUGAAUUUGGUGCUUGCACCAGAUGAAACUAGAUACAAGCGAGCGGCGGACGGGUGAGUAACACGUGGGUAACCUGCCCAAGAGACUGGGAUAACACCUGGAAACAGAUGCUAAUACCGGAUAACAACACUAGACGCAUGUCUAGAGUUUAAAAGAUGGUUCUGCUAUCACUCUUGGAUGGACCUGCGGUGCAUUAGCUAGUUGGUAAGGCAACGGCCUACCAAGGCAAUGAUGCAUAGCCGAGUUGAGAGGCUGAUCGGCCACAUUGGGACUGAGACACGGCCCAAACUCCUACGGGAGGCAGCAGUAGGGAAUCUUCCACAAUGGACGCAAGUCUGAUGGAGCAACGCCGCGUGAGUGAAGAAGGGUUUCGGCUCGUAAAGCCCUGUUGGUAGUGAAGAAAGAUAGAGGUAGUAACUGGCCUUUAUUUGACGGUAAUUACUUAGAAAGUCACGGCUAACUACGUG
RNAcentral lists this ribosomal RNA (519 nucleotides) under uncultured bacterium. RNAcentral describes it as "partial 16S ribosomal RNA". It matches the Rfam family "Bacterial small subunit ribosomal RNA", at positions 28 to 507 of the family's 1533-position model. The record is from RNAcentral.